This 468-nucleotide ribosomal RNA is filed under the name uncultured bacterium. RNAcentral describes it as "partial 16S ribosomal RNA". It matches the Rfam family "Bacterial small subunit ribosomal RNA", at positions 28 to 507 of the family's 1533-position model. The record is from RNAcentral.
GACGAACGCUGGCGGCGUGCUUAACACAUGCAAGUCGAACGGAAAGGCCCUGCUUUUGUGCGGUGCUCGAGUGGCGAACGGGUGAGUAACCCGUGAGUAACCUGCCCUUGACUUUGGGAUAACUUCAGGACACUUGGGCUAAUACCGGCUAGGAGCUCUUGCUGCAUGGUGGGGGUUGGUAAGUUUCGGCGGUUGGGGAUGGACUCGCGGCUUAUCAGCUUGUUGGUGGGGUAGUGGCUUACCAAGGCUUUGCCGGGUAGCCUGCCUGAGCGGGUGACCGGCCACACUGGGAUGGGGAUACGACCCAGACUCGUACGGGAGGCAGGGGUGGGGUAGAGAGCACUAUGGGCGGAAGCCUGAUGCAGCAACGCCGCGUGGGGGAUGACGGGCUGCGGGUUGUAAUCCGCUUCCGCCUGUGACGAAGCGUUAGUGACGGUAAUGGGUAAAGAAGCACCGGCUAACUACGUG